GGACAAUGUAGGGACAAUUUGGCCAUGACAUGUGUCACCCUAUUGAUUGCCAGGCUUGAUUGGGGAAAUCUGGCUGGCUAAGGGGGUAUCCCAUUCCUCCCCAAGUACUCCAUGUACUUCCCUCCUGUAGCACAUGCUCAGUUGAAGAGAAUGACUUUCACACAUAGAGGAGGACCAUUCUUCAACCAAGAGUGCAUGAUUAGCUACACUAUCCUGCAAGAACCUCUGAACAAGUUUUCAAGGGUUAGCUCAGUAAGACUUUACCAUGUGGAAUGCCUUCCAACUGCCACACUCCCUCAAGGCUUAAGGCAAGUGUCAACACUU
RNAcentral lists this small nuclear RNA (324 nucleotides) under Nannospalax galili (Upper Galilee mountains blind mole rat). RNAcentral describes it as "7SK RNA (ENSNGAG00000003117.1)". It matches the Rfam family "7SK RNA". From Rfam's summary of the family: 7SK was discovered as an abundant small nuclear RNA in the mid-70s but a possible function has only recently been suggested. Two independent studies have found that 7SK RNA binds the CDK9/cyclin T complex (known as elongation factor P-TEFb). Lineage: Eukaryota; Metazoa; Chordata; Mammalia; Rodentia; Spalacidae. The record is from Rfam by way of RNAcentral.